CACGUGGAGAGUUUUGAUUGCCCUUAUAUAUGAUAAAAGGGAUUUUUCAUUUCAGUGGGGCGAAGGCAGCUUGAUCAGAUGGCCUUGGGACAGUUGGCUGUCUGGAAAGGCGUAGAUGUAUGCUUUGCCCCUGAUGAAGUUCUGACAGAUUAGAGCGCUAAAUGUACAAUACUAAAGUACAAGAAAAACAGAACAUUUCUGUAACUUUGGCUUGAGGCACACUUUCUUAAGCAGUACACAUAACGCAGGAGGUGACAUUAAACUGAGUAACACUUCUGUGUGAAACCAUCAGUUACGAGAUAAAUGAAAGACUGAAGAAAAACGUUUGCAACAAAUAUGACAAAGGGCAAUACUCGCUAAUACUAAAAGUACCGU
RNAcentral lists this long non-coding RNA (375 nucleotides) under Bos taurus (domestic cattle). RNAcentral's name for it is "long non-coding RNA NONBTAT009572". The record is from RNAcentral. Lineage: Eukaryota; Metazoa; Chordata; Mammalia; Artiodactyla; Bovidae.